GGGCACUUCAAACAGGUUGAUGCUGUUCUCCUGGACUUGGAACAAAAAGAGGUGGGAUCAUUGAGGCAGGCGGGGUCUGUGGGAGCCUACAUCCCCGCCUCCAUGGAGGCAUAAAGCAGCCAGUCCUGGUCAGACUCAACCUAUAGACAGAACAAGCUCUGAUUCCUCCGAACACACCCAGCUGCCGGACAGGACCCAGCAUCACUCCCUCCCUGGCAGAGAGCCCGGCAGAAUUGGUGCCCCGUGUGAGGAGACGCCCCCUCCUGACAGAAGUUCUCUGACAGGCCAAUCGGUCUACAGAUUUAUCAAGAAAAAAGAAUGAAGAUCGCCCUGUCAACGACAAUGAAGAUCCUGCAAAACAAUGAUGGGGGGAUCGACAAUCCAAGAAGACUUAGAGAUGGGGAGGAGAGAGUUUCAAGACAACCCACUGUGGACUGGCCUCCAAGACUUACUGCCCUACCUACUUCCCCUCCUUGGUCCCUUCCUCCUUCUCCUUCUCCCUCUCAUGGUAAAGCUGCGUUUACUUAAUACACAACCAUCCAACAUCAUAUAGAGGCAAUCAGGCUUCAUCAGGUCCAGGUUCAUUAUCAAAGGCUUGCUUGGACAGAGCCAAGGUCAACAUACAAUUGGCCCUCAGAAUAUGAGCAACCCUUCCUGGCUCUUCACUUGACCAAUGACAGGUAAGAUCUCAGAUAUGCUGAGAUGUCCUAAAACAGGUCAUGGAGCAUUCCCCUGGAGCCAGUGAGUCACAAGGUAUCCAGAGAUGGGUAAGAUCCCCUUGUGGGGGACAACCUAAGACAGGAACCAUGUAAUCUGCUCAUUACAAAAACAAAAAGGGGAGAUAUUGGGCCUUAUUGGGCCCUAGUUGGGCCUUGAGGACAAAUCUGAGCCUGGCUCGAGUUUUAUAAACUGUCUCAGUCACUUCCGUACUGGAGUGACCCAGCACUUCCUUCUUAAGCUUGCCUUUGCCUAGCGACUGGUGACAUAGAGUAACUUUGUUGGCUCUGUCAGUCACCCCAUACACUUCCUCAACUUUCCACUCCCUUUCCCCUCCCCCUACGUCAUCUCACCUCAGCAAAAAAACUCCACCUCCACUCUCAGACCUUUAUAAAGAAAAGAUCGAUACAA
Molecule: long non-coding RNA, 1128 nt
Organism: Mastomys coucha (southern multimammate mouse)
Lineage: Eukaryota; Metazoa; Chordata; Mammalia; Rodentia; Muridae
Exons: 3
Source: RefSeq, a predicted model, not a curated record